Molecule: non-coding RNA, 1036 nt
Organism: Taeniopygia guttata (zebra finch)
Lineage: Eukaryota; Metazoa; Chordata; Aves; Passeriformes; Estrildidae
Source: RefSeq, a predicted model, not a curated record
GCUCGGGUGUUCAGGUCCUCAGCAGGACAAUUCCAUUGCUAGGAAACAUAAAGAUGUUUGGCAGAGCAAAACACGAGCACAGGUGGACUUGUGGUCCUUAAACAGGGAUGCUAAAGAACAGGUAGCAGGGAGCUGUGUUUGAGCCUCCAGUGCUCAGGUGACCCCAGCAAUUGUCCUGGCCAGGUUGAACCAGUAACAAAACCAGGCAACUGCUGGGAAAGUGUGUUGGCAACCCCCUGUGUGACAGUCCUGGGCCCUGUCUGGACCUCAGGACAGCAAAAAGUGAAUAAUUGUUCAUCAGCAGCACUGGUGGCUUAAUGAGUGCCUCCUGUCUAUGAGAGGCCCAGGGGUUUGGUUUGUCCUUAUCAUCAGACAGCUGCUGGACAGAGGGUCUGGGGCAGUGAAGGACUCAGGUGGGUCUUGGACAUCUUACAAGGACAAUUCUGCUUCUUGUAGGGCUCUGAGGGUGCCUCUGAGCAGGACCCCAGGGCUGGGGAGGUGCUGACUGUGCUCCCAGAGAAGCGUUGCAGGUUUCCUCUGCUCUGUCUCAUUUUUGGGUGGAAACACAGCUUCUCUCCAAGCUGCUGCAAGGGACCAUCCUCCUGUUUGCCUGCUGUCCUGUGCAGGCCGACUCACAGCCCUUCCUGCCUGGAUUUUGCAGUUUCACCUCUUUCAGAGGAAUAAAGACUCUACAUUAUACGCACUAGAUGAGCGAGGGACAUUAAGAAUGAACUGGAACAUAACUGCAAAAUACAGCAUGUCCAAUCCAAUUUUUCCUAGCAAAUGAAAUGGAUCUGGUGGAAAAUAAAUACAGAACUUCCAGGAGCAGCGUCCUUGAAGAGCAUUUGAGGGGGAUGAAGAGAUUUGAAUGGAUCAACCCUCUAUACCUCUUCAUAUCCCUCCUCCCACCCUUAAAUGCCAUCUUUAACAGAAAUAAAUUAGAAUAAACGAUCAGCCCAUGCCUCCUAAAGACAGGUGGCAGGGUAAUAUUAAAAGAAAUGAAUAAAAAUUCAUUUAAUGAGCAUUGUUAAUUAAA